This 582-nucleotide ribosomal RNA is filed under the name uncultured bacterium. RNAcentral's name for it is "partial 16S ribosomal RNA". It matches the Rfam family "Bacterial small subunit ribosomal RNA", at positions 355 to 928 of the family's 1533-position model. The record is from RNAcentral.
UGGGGAAUUUUGGACAAUGGGGGAAACCCUGAUCCAGCCAUCCCGCGUGUGCGAUGAAGGCCUUCGGGUUGUAAAGCACUUUUGGCAGGAAAGAAACGUCGCGGGUUAAUACCCCGCGAAACUGACGGUACCUGCAGAAUAAGCACCGGCUAACUACGUGCCAGCAGCCGCGGUAAUACGUAGGGUGCAAGCGUUAAUCGGAAUUACUGGGCGUAAAGCGUGCGCAGGCGGUUCGGAAAGAAAGAUGUGAAAUCCCAGAGCUUAACUUUGGAACUGCAUUUUUAACUACCGGGCUAGAGUGUGUCAGAGGGAGGUGGAAUUCCGCGUGUAGCAGUGAAAUGCGUAGAUAUGCGGAGGAACACCGAUGGCGAAGGCAGCCUCCUGGGAUAACACUGACGCUCAUGCACGAAAGCGUGGGGAGCAAACAGGAUUAGAUACCCUGGUAGUCCACGCCCUAAACGAUGUCAACUAGCUGUUGGGGCCUUCGGGCCUUGGUAGCGCAGCUAACGCGUGAAGUUGACCGCCCUGGGGGAGUACGGUCGCAAGAUUAAAACUCAAAUGAAUUGACGGGGGUCAUAGCUG